This 274-nucleotide ribosomal RNA is filed under the name uncultured bacterium. Its description in RNAcentral is "partial 16S ribosomal RNA". It matches the Rfam family "Bacterial small subunit ribosomal RNA", at positions 523 to 796 of the family's 1533-position model. The record is from RNAcentral.
AUACAGAGGGUGCGAGCGUUAAGCGGAAUUACUGGGCGUAAAGCGCGCGUAGGUGGUCUAUUAAGUCAGAUGUGAAAUCCCAGGGCUCAACCUUGGAACUGCAUCUGAUACUGAUAGACUAGAGUUUUGGAGAGGGAAGUAGAAUUUCAGGUGUAGCGGUGAAAUGCAUAGAGAUCUGAAGGAAUGCCAGUGGCGAAGGCGACUUCCUGGCCAAAAACUGACGCUGAGGUGCGAAAGCGUGGGUAGCAAACGGGAUUAGAAACCCCAGUAGUCC